UGUCGAUAAUAAAGAAAUCCGAAGACCAAAAUACUCGAUCGGAGAACCUCACAACGAACAACUCCAAACUCGAUAUUGAGUUCAACCAGACAGAUCGGAAAACCAUGACAAAACCUCACGAUGAAUAACCCACAAAUCCGAAUAAACUUCAAAAACAACCCAAGAUCCCAGAUUCGAAACCCCAAACCAACGAUUUCCAACUAACCUUGCACGAACCAAACCAACUCGGAUGGAUUUAAAACCUUAAGAAAUAAGAAAUAUCAAACGAACCGAGACUGAAAUUAUGAUAAAUCGAGAAGUCCCAUACGCGAAAUUUUGUCGGAAUCAGUGGAAAAUGGACUGGGUGUCGUUGCCGGUCACUGGCGUCACCGUUUUCGGUGCCUGCUACCGUCGCUGGAGAGUGGUCGGGUCGGCGGCUGGAUGCUGACUGGUGCCGGCUGCCGUCGUCGGAGAGAGGCGUAGACCGAGAGAGAGAAAAAGCUACGGAGAUGGUGGGCUGGCCGUCGUCGUGGUGGUUGAGACGACGGAGGCGUCUCGCCGGAGGGAGAGAGGAGGAGAUCGGGAGUUGGAGCGGUGUUGGCGCCGACGCUGUCGUCGCGGAUGGGGAUGGCGGCGCCGCGGCUUUUUUUU
This 630-nucleotide long non-coding RNA is filed under the name Capsicum annuum. Its description in RNAcentral is "long non-coding RNA (CANN_LNC004209)". Lineage: Eukaryota; Viridiplantae; Streptophyta; Magnoliopsida; Solanales; Solanaceae. The record is from RNAcentral.